GCGCGCAUAGCUCAGCCUGGAAGAGCACCGCCUCGACAUGGCGAAGGCCGCAGGUUCAACUCCUGCUGCGCGCACAA
Molecule: transfer RNA, 77 nt
Filed under: Syntrophobacteraceae bacterium
Lineage: Bacteria; Pseudomonadati; Thermodesulfobacteriota; Syntrophobacteria; Syntrophobacterales; Syntrophobacteraceae
Description: tRNA-Val
Rfam family: tRNA
About the family: Transfer RNA (tRNA) molecules are approximately 80 nucleotides in length. Their secondary structure includes four short double-helical elements and three loops (D, anti-codon, and T loops).
Source: RNAcentral